RNAcentral lists this ribosomal RNA (789 nucleotides) under uncultured archaeon. RNAcentral describes it as "bacterial SSU rRNA". It matches the Rfam family "Archaeal small subunit ribosomal RNA", at positions 85 to 879 of the family's 1478-position model. The record is from RNAcentral.
ACUGCUCAGUAACACGUGGAUAACCUGCCCAAGGGGAGGGGAUAACCCCGGGAAACUGGGGAUAAUACCCUAUAGGUUACAGAUGCUGGAAUGCCCUGUAACCAAAAGCUCCGGCGCCCUAGGAUGGAUCUGCGGCCGAUUAGGUUGUUGUUGGGGUAACGGCCCAACAAGCCCGUAAUCGGUACGGGUUGUGGGAGCAGGAGCCCGGAGUUGGAUUCUGAGACACGAAUCCAGGCCCUACGGGGGCGCAGCAGGCGCGAAACCUUUACAAUGCGGGCAACCGUGAUAAGGGAACCUCGAGUGCCUGUAAACGCAGGCUGUUCAGGUGUUUAAAACGCACCUGGAGAAAGGGCCGGGCAAGACCGGUGCCAGCCGCCGCGGUAAUACCGGCGGCUCGAGUGGUGGCCGCUUUUAUUGGGCUUAAAGCGUUCGUAGCUGGGUUGUUAAGUCUCUUGGGAAAUCUGGCGGCUUAACCGUCAGGCGUCUAAGGGAUACUGGCAAUCUUGGAACCGGGAGAGGUGAGGGGUACUUCGGGGUAGGGGUGAAAUCCUGUAAUCCUCGAGGGACCACCUGUGGCGAAGGCGCCUCACCAGAACGGCUUCGACAGUGAGGGACGAAAGCUGGGGGAGCAAACCGGAUUAGAUACCCGGGUAGUCCCAGCCGUAAACGAUGCGCGUUAGGUGUAUCGGUAACCACGAGUUACCGAGGUGCCGAAGGGAAACCGUGAAACGCGCCGCCUGGGAAGUACGGUCGCAAGGCUGAAACUUAAAGGAAUUGGCGGGGGAGCAC